AAACAAACAACAACAAAUAAACAAAUAACUACAUAAUGACUGAUAAUGAUAAGUGAUAAUAAUAACUUUAAUGAUAUGAAGGCUGAUGAAGUUUUAGACAACCAAUACAAGAUUUAGAACUUGACAUCGUGAUAAACAAAUUGUACAUUCAGGAACUCGUUUAAAUAUUAUAGGUUGAUUAACGAAUACUCUACAGUUGAUUAGAGCCCAUGAUGAUGCGAAGAUAAUUAAUAUCACCUAACUUCAAGAAACCAG
This is a long non-coding RNA of Sitophilus oryzae (rice weevil), 255 nucleotides long. RefSeq lists it as uncharacterized. The transcript has 3 exons. The record is from RefSeq and is a predicted model, not a curated record. Lineage: Eukaryota; Metazoa; Arthropoda; Insecta; Coleoptera; Curculionidae.